Molecule: ribosomal RNA, 427 nt
Filed under: uncultured bacterium
Lineage: Bacteria
Description: partial 16S ribosomal RNA
Rfam family: Bacterial small subunit ribosomal RNA
Source: RNAcentral
UGGGGAAUAUUGCACAAUGGGCGCAAGCCUGAUGCAGCCAUGCCGCGUGUAUGAAGAAGGCCUUCGGGUUGUAAAGUACUUUCAGCGGGGAGGAAGGCGAUAAGGUUAAUAACCUUGUCGAUUGACGUUACCCGCAGAAGAAGCACCGGCUAACUCCGUGCCAGCAGCCGCGGUAAUACGGAGGGUGCAGGCGUUAAUCGGAAUUACUGGGCGUAAAGCGCACGCAGGCGGUCUGUCAAGUCGGAUGUGAAAUCCCCGGGCUCAACCUGGGAACUGCAUUCGAAACUGGCAGGCUAGAGUCUUGUAGAGGGGGGUAGAAUUCCAGGUGUAGCGGUGAAAUGCGUAGAGAUCUGGAGGAAUACCGGUGGCGAAGGCGGCCCCCUGGACAAAGACUGACGCUCAGGUGCGAAAGCGUGGGGAGCAAACA